RNAcentral lists this long non-coding RNA (1350 nucleotides) under Cricetulus griseus (Chinese hamster). RNAcentral's name for it is "lncRNA (ENSCGRG00000026364.1)". Lineage: Eukaryota; Metazoa; Chordata; Mammalia; Rodentia; Cricetidae. The record is from RNAcentral.
AUGCCUUGGGGUCUUUCCCUGGAAAGAGAAUGGCCCCGGGUUUCUUUUUUUUUUUUUUCUUGUUUUUUUUUUUUUUUUUUUUUUUUUUUUGUUUUUCGAGAUAGGGUUUCUCUGUGUAGCUUUAGAGCCAAUCCUGGCAUUUGCUUUGUAGACCAGGCUGGCCUCGAACUCAGAGAUCCACCUGUCUCUGCCUCCCAAGUGCAGGGAUUAAAGGCAUGCACCACCAACACCCGGCAACAAAAUGCUUUUUUAAAGAAUGAGCUAGAUGUAAUUGAAAGGGGUAAACUAAACUAAAAGGCUUCACUUCUAGGAAUCAAGGGACCAGCCCUUGCUUUAGCAGCCAUGACAGGCUACAGAAAAGGCACGAAGGCCUGUAACACAAGGAAACUCCAGAUCCUCUGGCCUCCCAGACCUAGGCCCAAAACUGAACACAAAGAAACUCCAGACCUUCCCCCUACCCCCUCAGUCUCCGAGGUACUUGGUUCCUGGGAACUGUUUGGCUACAAAAGAAACUCCAGGGGAGACCAAAACCUCCCCUAUAGUCUCCAGGAUACAGUUCUGACAACUAUUGGUAUCUAUGAACAACAGGCCACCUACAAGUAACAAGACAAAGCCAUAGAAACCACAGAAUGUUCCCUCUCAUCACUGACCAAUGAGAGUACCUGGUACACAGGUAUUUCAUGCCAAAAUAUGACUUUGAGAAAUUUUCCAGAUUGUUCUGAAAUGUCAACCAAUCAGAAACCAACCCCUACCUACUGAUGCAAUCCUGUAACUUUUGUCUUUAUAACCUAGCAGUAGACAGGAAACUUCACCCCCUCUAGAAGCUGCUUUGUCAGCUUGCUAGACGGGGUCCCUCCCUCAGUAGGAUAGACAAUUUAAUAAACCUCGUGCAUUUCUAUCGGUGGUCUGUCUCCCUGGUCUCUUUGGGGAUCCUUAUGACUGCGGCACAACAGUAAUGUAUAUACCUUUAAUCCCAAAACUUAGAAGGUAGAGGCAGGAGGAUCUCUUUGAGUUCCAGGUAAGCCUGAUUUACAAAGCAAGUUCUAUGAUAGCUAGGGCUUCCUAAGUGAGAUCUUUUCUCAAAAACAGCAAAACAUGUCUGUUGAUGAUGGCAUAUGCCUUUAAUCCCAGCAUUCGGGAGGCAGAGGCAGGCAGAUCUCUGUGAGCUUGAGGCCAGCCUGGUCUACAGAGCGAGUUCCAGGACAGGCUUCAAAGCUACAGUGAAACCCUGUCUCAAAAAAAGGGCUGGAGAGAUGGCUUAAGAAUAGUGGCUAAGCCAGGUGUUGGUAGUGCACGCUUUUAAUCCCAGCACUCGGGAGGCAGAGGCAGUCUGAUCUCUGUGAGUUCGAG